GGUAGAUACCACAUACGACUAUAU
RNAcentral lists this non-coding RNA (24 nucleotides) under Arabidopsis thaliana (thale cress). Lineage: Eukaryota; Viridiplantae; Streptophyta; Magnoliopsida; Brassicales; Brassicaceae. The record is from RNAcentral.